GACGAACGCUGGCGGCGUGCUUAACACAUGCAAGUCGAACGGUGAAGGGGUCUGCUUUUGUGGGCCCUGGAUGAGUGGCGAACGGGUGAGUAACACGUGAGUAACCUGCCCCCUUCUUCUGGAUAACCGCAUGAAAGUGUGGCUAAUACGGGAUAUUCUGGGUCUGUCGCAUGAUGGGUCUGGGAAAAAUUGCGCCUUUGGGUGUUUUUGGUGGGGGAUGGGCUCGCGGCCUAUCAGCUUGUUGGUGGGGUGAUGGCCUACCAAGGCGGUGACGGGUAGCCGGCCUGAGAGGGUGGACGGUCACACUGGGACUGAGACACGGCCCAGACUCCUACGGGAGGCAGCAGUGGGGAAUAUUGCACAAUGGGCGCAAGCCUGAUGCAGCGACGCCGCGUGAGGGAUGGAGGCCUUCGGGUUGUAAACCUCUUUCGCCAGUGAAGCAGGCCUGCUCCUUGUGGGUGGGUUGACGGUAGCUGGAUAAGAAGCGCCGGCUAACUACGUG
RNAcentral lists this ribosomal RNA (502 nucleotides) under uncultured bacterium. RNAcentral describes it as "partial 16S ribosomal RNA". It matches the Rfam family "Bacterial small subunit ribosomal RNA", at positions 28 to 507 of the family's 1533-position model. The record is from RNAcentral.